UACGAGAGCUCCAAGCGUUAUCCGGAAUUAUUGGGCGUAAAGGGUGCGUAGGUGGCAUUGUUAGUCUUUCGUUAAAUAUCCGGGCUUAACCCGGAAACUGCGAGGGAAACGGCAAAGCUAGAGAGUGUGAGGGGUAUAUGGAACUCAAGGUGUAGGGGUGAAAUCCGUUGAUAUCUUGGGGAACACCAAAAGCGAAGGCAAUAUACUGGCACACAUCUGACACUCAAGCACGAAAGCGUGGGUAGCGAAU
Molecule: ribosomal RNA, 250 nt
Filed under: uncultured bacterium
Lineage: Bacteria
Description: partial 16S ribosomal RNA
Rfam family: Bacterial small subunit ribosomal RNA
Source: RNAcentral